GGGGAUUUAGCUUAGUGGUAGAGCGCCUGCCUAGCAAGCACAAGGCCCUGGGUUCGGUCCCCAGCUCUG
RNAcentral lists this transfer RNA (69 nucleotides) under Rattus norvegicus (Norway rat). It matches the Rfam family "tRNA". From Rfam's summary of the family: Transfer RNA (tRNA) molecules are approximately 80 nucleotides in length. Their secondary structure includes four short double-helical elements and three loops (D, anti-codon, and T loops). The record is from Rfam by way of RNAcentral. Lineage: Eukaryota; Metazoa; Chordata; Mammalia; Rodentia; Muridae.